GAAUGUGAGGGUGAUCUGGCUGCGACAUCUGUCAGUCCAUUGAUCUCCAGAGUUGAUUAGCUGAUGUGGCUGGCUAGGUGGGUGUCCCCUUCCUCUCUCAUAGCUCCAUGUGUUUCCCUCCUGAAGCUGUGUGCUGGGGUGAAGAGGAUGACCAUCUCUGAUAGUGGAGGACCCUUCUUCAGUCAAGGGUAUACAAGUAGCUGCACUCCCCUGCUAGAACCUCCAAACAAGCACUCAAAGAAAGGAAAGGAAUGGGAAGGAAAGGAAAAAGGACGAAGGAAGGAGAAGAAAGAAAUUGAGUAUCUUUAUAU
This 311-nucleotide small nuclear RNA is filed under the name Castor canadensis (American beaver). RNAcentral describes it as "7SK RNA (ENSCCNG00000008738.1)". The stretch from base 1 to 277 matches the Rfam family "7SK RNA". From Rfam's summary of the family: 7SK was discovered as an abundant small nuclear RNA in the mid-70s but a possible function has only recently been suggested. The record is from RNAcentral. Lineage: Eukaryota; Metazoa; Chordata; Mammalia; Rodentia; Castoridae.